UUGGGUGCAGAUGAUGACAGCUUGAAAUCUGAACACAAUGAUUUCAGUUCAAAGUAAACGCACUGAUGCACCCUCC
Anguilla anguilla (European eel) is the source of this 76-nucleotide small nucleolar RNA. RefSeq annotates it as small nucleolar RNA U105B. The record is from RefSeq and is a predicted model, not a curated record. NCBI's taxonomy places the organism in Eukaryota, Metazoa, Chordata, Actinopteri, Anguilliformes, Anguillidae. The transcript has a single exon.